GAUGAACGCUGGCGGCGUGCCUAAUACAUGCGAGUCGAGCGAACGGACGAGAAGCUUGCUUCUCUGAUGUUAGCGGCGGACGGGUGAGUAACACGUGGAUAACCUACCUAUAAGACUGGGAUAACUUCGGGAAACCGGAGCUAAUACCGGAUAAUAUUUUGAACCGCAUGGUUCAAAAGUGAAAGACGGUCUUGCUGUCACUUAUAGAUGGAUCCGCGCUGCAUUAGCUAGUUGGUAAGGUAACGGCUUACCAAGGCAACGAUGCAUAGCCGACCUGAGAGAGUGAUCGGCCACACUGGAACUGGGACACGGUCCAGACUCCUACGGGAGGCAGCAGUAGGGAAUCUUCCGCAAUGGGCGAAAGCCUGACGGAGCAACGCCGCGUGAGUGAUGAAGGUCUUCGGAUCGUAAAACUCUGUUAUUAGGGAAGAACAUAUGUGUAAGUAACUGUGCACAUCUUGACGGUACCUAAUCAGAAAGCCACGGCUAACUACGUG
RNAcentral lists this ribosomal RNA (497 nucleotides) under uncultured bacterium. RNAcentral describes it as "partial 16S ribosomal RNA". It matches the Rfam family "Bacterial small subunit ribosomal RNA", at positions 28 to 507 of the family's 1533-position model. The record is from RNAcentral.